RNAcentral lists this ribosomal RNA (495 nucleotides) under uncultured bacterium. Its description in RNAcentral is "partial 16S ribosomal RNA". It matches the Rfam family "Bacterial small subunit ribosomal RNA", at positions 28 to 507 of the family's 1533-position model. The record is from RNAcentral.
GAUGAACGCUGGCGGCGUGCUUAACACAUGCAAGUCGAACGAAGCACCUCUCCCGAGGAUUGACACAGCUUGCUGUAGAUUGAUUCAUUUGAGGUGACUGAGUGGCGGACGGGUGAGUAACGCGUGGGUAACCUGCCUCAUAGAGGGGGACAACAGGUGGAAACGACUGCUAAUACCGCAUAGUAAGAAGAAUUCGCAUGUUUUCUUCUUGAAAGAUUUAUCGCUAUGAGAUGGACCCGCGUCUGAUUAGCUAGUUGGUAAGGUAACGGCUUACCAAGGCGACGAUCAGUAGCCGGCUUGAGAGAGUGAACGGCCACAUUGGGACUGAGACACGGCCCAAACUCCUACGGGAGGCAGCAGUGGGGAAUAUUGCACAAUGGGGGAAACCCUGAUGCAGCGACGCCGCGUGAGUGAAGAAGUAUUUCGGUAUGUAAAGCUCUAUCAGCAGGGAAGAUAAUGACGGUACCUGACUAAGAAGCCCCGGCUAACUACGUG